This 393-nucleotide ribosomal RNA is filed under the name uncultured bacterium. Its description in RNAcentral is "partial 16S ribosomal RNA". It matches the Rfam family "Bacterial small subunit ribosomal RNA", at positions 523 to 918 of the family's 1533-position model. The record is from RNAcentral.
AUACGGAGGAUCCGAGCGUUAUCCGGAUUUAUUGGGUUUAAAGGGAGCGUAGGUGGACAGUUAAGUCAGUUGUGAAAGUUUGCGGCUCAACCGUAAAAUUGCAGUUGAUACUGGCUGUCUUGAGUACAGUAGAGGUGGGCGGAAUUCGUGGUGUAGCGGUGAAAUGCUUAGAUAUCACGAAGAACUCCGAUUGCGAAGGCAGCUCACUGGACUGCAACUGACACUGAUGUUCGAAAGUGUGGGUAUCAAACAGGAUUAGAUACCCUGGUAGUCCGCACAGUAAACGAUGAAUACUCGCUGUUUGCGAUACACGGUAAGCGGCCAAGCGAAAGCGUUAAGUAUUCCACCUGGGGAGUACGCCGGCAACGGUGAAACUAAAAUGAAUUGACGGGG